This is a long non-coding RNA of Oncorhynchus keta (chum salmon), 782 nucleotides long. RefSeq lists it as uncharacterized. The transcript is spliced from 3 exons. The record is from RefSeq and is a predicted model, not a curated record. Lineage: Eukaryota; Metazoa; Chordata; Actinopteri; Salmoniformes; Salmonidae.
UAAGGUUUAGAGUAGGGGUUAGGGUUAGAGUUAGAGUAGGGGUUAGGGUUAGGUAGGGAUUAAGGUUAGGUAAGGGUUAAGGUUAGGUAAGGGUUAAGGUUAGGUAAGGUUUAAGGUUAGGUAAGGUUUAGGGUUAAGGUUAGGUAAGUGUUAAGGUUAGGUAAGGGUUAAGGUUAGGGUUAAGGUUAGGUAAGGGUUAAGGUUAGGCAAGGGGUAAGGGUUAAGGUAAGGGUUAAGGUUAGGUAAGUGUUAAGGUUAGGUAAGGGUUAAGGUUAGGUAAGGGUUAAGGUUAGGCAAGGGGUAAGGGUUAAGGUAAGGGUUAAGGUUAAGGUUAGAGUCAGAAGAACCUAGAAACACUGCAGCAGGCAGAACAGAGCUGUACGUUUUGCUCUUCACUGUAAUCCGAGGGUUAAGGUUAGGGUUAGGUAAUCAGAGGGUUAAGGUUAGGUAAUCAGAGGGUUAAGGUUAGGGUUAGGUAAUCAGAGGGUUACGGUUAGGGUUAGGUAAUCAGAGGGUUAAGGUUAGGGUUAGAGUUAGGUAAUCAGAGGGUUAAGGUUAGGUAAUCAGAGGGUUAAGGUUAGGGUUAGGGUUAGGUAAUCAGAGGGUUAAGGUUAGGGUUAGGUAAUCAGAGGGUUAAGGUUAGGGUUAGGUAAUCAGAGGGUUAAGGUUAGGGUUAGGUAAUCAGAGGGUUAAGGUUAUGGUUAGGUAAUCAGAGGGUUAAGGUUAGGGUUAGGUAAUCAGAAUGGCUCAUAUCAAAACUAUCCCAAGGAUACCGGAUAGCA